Bombus pyrosoma is the source of this 1906-nucleotide RNA transcript. RefSeq lists it as uncharacterized. The transcript is spliced from 2 exons. NCBI's taxonomy places the organism in Eukaryota, Metazoa, Arthropoda, Insecta, Hymenoptera, Apidae. The record is from RefSeq and is a predicted model, not a curated record.
UCAGAGAGUAUCCAGCGUGUUUUAAUGGCUAUAAAUGGUGGUGAAAUACAGAGUAUACAAAACUGAAUCUGUGCGUGAAUCAAUCGAAUAUCGAACCUUAAAAUCUAUUUAAUAACAUUUUUAUGAUACACGUGGUCCACGCUGUAUCUGGAAAUCGCAUGCAAGUGAAAACACGAAAGGAAGGUCUUUCCAUUAACCGAAUCGAAGGCAGCACACAGGUGUCCACAAUCGGGCAAUUGGAGCUCUCAAAGGAGACGAUCUUCGACCUAGUGAAUCAAGUACAACAACCACGAACUCCCUACCGAGACUCGUUCGUUCCAAUUCAAGUCUCGAUUCAAGAAAAUCAAAAGAAAAGCAGCGAUCCAACGAACGAAAAGAUGGAUAGAGAUAGAAGCAGAGGUAAAAGGAAGAAUAGAAGUUAGAAUGAAAAACGUUGGGAACCGGAAGGUUGGUGGGAUGGCGGAGAGAUCGAAGAACAGCGGAACAUCGAACGGAGGUGAACGCGCGGGACUCGGGAAAUUAGGUUGUUAAGAUUUAAUCGGACACAGAGGCAUUUUAAGCGUCCCGUUGUCCCAUCCUCCGCGCGAUGGGGGUUGGCGUCGCGAGGUUGGCCAGAUUUAAAUUGCACCGGCUCCCUUGAGCCACGCUUUCCCAGUCGCCCUGCCACUCUGUUCCGAGAAGAUAGCGAAGGAUCGUUAAGAUUUCUGCCGGAUUCCGUUCGCCGGAAUUUCAUUUGCGACUUGGCCCCGGUAGCUCACCUUUGCCCGGCCCCCGUAAUUUAAUCGUCGACAAGAUUGCUUGGCUAGGAUUGUUUAAAGAAGAUCCUUGAUGAACGUUUGAAACGGAGCUGUUGCUGCCUCGUCAGGGCGCGUGGGUGUUUUCGCAGGGUCCAUGGAGCGAGGGAUGGCACACGGAUUUCGAGACGGAAGUUUCGGCACGGAUGGGGGAAGCACGUGUUGUUGGAAGUAAUUAGGGGAUCACAUGCUUCGGGAAAUGAGUAAUAUCAAGGGAUAAUGCGAGUAUCGUCGGAGUGUUUGAUGUAAGAUACGACUCGCGUUAGGAUUGUAUCGUGGAUUUUCGAGUAGAAUGGAUAGACGAUUUUACAAGGAUGAUGCGAUACACGUGCGCGACGAGCAGAUUUUUAGAAGAACCACUUGAAAUAAUUACUAAGCUUACGGGAACGAAUUUUUUUUUAGCGAAGAUGGAGGUUUAUGGAAGGACGUGUUGUCGGCCAGGUAAUUGGGAAAUCGCUUGUUAGCGGGAAUAAAUUAUACCGGGACGAUAACAGGGGAUAUUGGAGAGUUUGACGUAAGAUAUAGUUCUUGUUAAGUGACUUUGAGACAGCGUAGCAAGAACUUUGAAGUAGAAUGACGUCGAUGACCUUACUAUGGUUUAGUACAUAAAGUAAAUGUAGGAAAAGUCUGGGAACGAUUUACAGGUCCGCGAAAACGUAGUUUCCGAUGAAAAUGGAAGUUUAACAGUGGGUAGAAAAUGGAAGGACGUAUCGCUAAUCGCAGGUUCGAGGACGCGGCUAAUAUUGCGAGGAUAAUGGAGGAUAUCGUUGAAGUAUGUGACGUAAGAAGAUAUAGUUGGCGUUAGACAACUUUGACGAUGUGCUAAAGAUCUGGAAGAUGGAUGAUGUAGUAUAAUAAUAUGGUAUAUCGUUAUAUUAUGCAAUAAGGUAGAUUUAAAAGAAUAAUAUGGAAAUGUUCACUGUUUGCAGCUUUGUGAAAACAUGCCCUUUGUUGGGAAUGAACGUCUGCGUAUAAAAGAUCGAUUCUUAGUUUUUAAGAAUUAAAGGCAGCUACCUAUAAUUAAAUUCACCUUUAGCCUUGCCAGUUUUUAUAUCUCGAAAUGUAUUUUUUAUGAACCUUAAACGGAUGAAAUUCAAUUAGUCUUCCUAAGA